Molecule: long non-coding RNA, 3316 nt
Organism: Lolium perenne
Lineage: Eukaryota; Viridiplantae; Streptophyta; Magnoliopsida; Poales; Poaceae
Source: RefSeq, a predicted model, not a curated record
UGGGCGGCUUCUCUGCGGAUCGACCUGGGACGCCGGUCGUGAAGUGGGCCAACAUACAGCGAAGCGUGGACUAAGGCCCAUUAAUCAGCUCCAGGCCCCCAAGGAAAAAUGCCCCAUCUUCCCGAUCCUUUGCCCCCUGUCCCCUGCCUCUUCCUGCGCGUUCAUGGGGUUGCUUCCUCUCCCUUCCAAUUCCUCUUCAGCGGUGAUCCAGAGCCACGCACGCGCUAUCGUUUCUGGGCAGCCUCCAUCGCGGGAACUCCCACGGUGCCCAUCACGCGCUCCUCGUCUGCGAACUCUCUCUCUCUUUCUCUCCCUCUCUCUCUCUCCCUCUCUCUCUCUCUAUCUCGCCGUCGAGCAGGGUGUCCCCUCCCCUGGCCGUCCGAUGGUAAUUACCCAUCACGGCAUCACCUAUUGUUCUUUGCUCGUCUCGCCUUUCCAGUUGCUAUAGGAAAUUUCAUUUAUUUUUUGCCGGCCGCUCGAGAUUAGAAAGUUGGCACUGUCUCGACUGCUUCGUUCUUGAUUUCGUAUAUGGAUGUGGUAAUCCUGCAGUAGGCGAAAGAAUGGAAACAAAUUAAUUUAUCUACAGAUGGACAUGGCAUUUAUUGUUUGUGAUGGCAGAUUAAUUGAAUCCUGAAUUUUGAUGUCACGUAUUUCCUGUAGUUGUUUACUAGCGUGUUGCUAUCUGCCUAUCUCCAAUGUUCACAUAUUCUGGAGUUUAGAUCUUAUGUUAUGACAUGCAUUUUCUUGGAGGAACAACAAAGAGAGUUGAGUGCAGGGUUAGGUUUGGUUCAGGCAGUAGAUCAAUUAUGUAAAGCUGUAUCACAACUGAAUAACUAGCAGACGAAUGAUGCAAGAGGAGAUGAGCUUGUGCUGCUCUGCGACAGAGGUGGUCGAACACAUUAGGUUUUUCUUGUCAGGUUGGGGGUCUUCUGAUAUUUUCUUGCUGCUCCAACUUUUACUGAGAUAAAUUUGUGCUGGAUUGAAGUUGAAGCUCAGUUGAUCAAAAGUAAAGAGAUAAGACAUGUUUUAUCACCAACGAGAUUAGUACAAUAACAUUUAUAGUUUCUCAUACAAUGUCUUUUCAGUUUUCACUCCCAGAAUAAAUUGGAUAAAUUAAGGCAUCUCAAUUUAUGAAUCUGAAGUUUCUAUAUUAUGUACGCCAAUGAAAUUUAACUAAAUAAAAAACUGGCAGUAUGCCUCAGUUAUGUAUUCAAGUUCUCACUUAGGGUAGACCAUAUGGAAAGUUUUGAUUUACUGCAUAAUUCUCAGCAUGUGCUUCUUUAUUUGUUUGCCCUGCUAUUCUGUACAUGUUCACAACAUCAAACUCUGAGUUAAGCAGUUAACUAGACAUCACCUUCUCAUCCCUUCUCCCCAGCCUCACCAGAUACAGUGGUGGGGGUUUCUCCUGCCAGCGUGGCGAUUGAAUCCUAGGUGUGGUAGAACGACGCAGCCGCUGGCCUUCCCGCGUUUCCCCAUGUGGUGCAGCUGUGCGGGGUUUCAUUAACAAGUCUGGUGGCAGCAAUGGUUUUCUUUCCAAUGGGCCACCGUGGGAAGCAGCAAGGCAUUUGAUAUGGGUACCGAUCACAGCAGGUUGCGACUGUUGGUGUUGUCUCUCCUUCUCCUUCGGAUUUUGAUGUUAUAUCCCCCAAAAAUCACUUCACCACUUAAUUAUUGCAUGUUCCAUGGCGAGCUACCCUCCUCAGCUUCUCCAUAACCGAACCCCAAGUUACAGUGAAUUUGCUUCUGUACUGAUAGAACUAUUUGUAGGUCAAUGCGUUGUGAGUGAAAGCAAAGGCAAUAUUUAUGAAGGAGAGUAGUGUUCAGGUAUGGCAGAGCUUUCUUCCAAUUUUGCAAUAGCGUCAUAUUGUUAUUAGGUUAUUACUGGUUGUUAGAAAAAUAUUAUGCACUUGUCGUUGCUUAUGACACUUUCAGUUUUUUUAGGUGAGCAUACAAGAAGUUGCCCUUUCUGAGUUUUAGUUUAAAGAUCUUAGUGAUCAUGUUUGCUGCUGCAUACAAGAAGUUGCUCUUUCUGAGUUUUAAUUUAUCAAUGAAAUGAACUUGCAUCUUUGCAAUUUUUCUUUUUCUAGAUUUUUAGUGACAUAUCUUUUGUUUUCAUAUGGAUGAACUAAAUGGUUGAUUCCUUGUUUUGUCUUUCUACUUAUUUGUUUUCAGAGAAAGAAGCCUAAGCAAGCAGAAACAAGGCUUUUAAAUCUUUUAAUGACAAAUAGUAUUUGCAUGAUAAGUCCGAAGGCAAUAGGCUGCUUUAUAUUUUUCUUCUAAAUCUCAAGGAUAUCUGUUGCUUUUUAUAACUCCAUAUUUCGAAAUUAAUAAUUUCCCCAUGUUAGAAUUCAAAUAACUUCCAUAUACCAUAUAUUCAAUUUCAUAGGCAUGCUAAGGGCAAAUGAGCAUCCAUUUUGGUUCCUGUGUAAGUACAUGGUUGUAGAGUGCCUUCUUUUCUUGAACUUAUAACCUGGAGUUCCUUGGCUGGAAACUUUAUUGAUACUCCAUUUGACAUCGUAUCUGUCAUGUUCAUUUACUACUCACCAAUUGUUCUUUUCCUGCAUUUUUCCUCCACUGCAUAUCAAGUGAGUGGAAGCAAAUCAACUGCUAUAUAUGCUUGAGUGAGCAUAUUAUGAAGUGCAAUACACUAGAUUAUAUCGACACUUUAAAUUUACGGUGCAAUAUAUAAGCGUUUAAAUGUACCUUUUGUCAUCAUGUAUAUCAUCUUUCUCUAAAUUAUGUGGUCCAUAUUCAGGUACGAGAAGUAGAACUACAUGAAAAGUAUAAGCUAGGUACUACUGUUUUUGCUCUCUAAUUCAUGAGUGUCUGCCUCGUGUUGCUUAUCAGAGUCUUGCAAAUUCGAAUAUGUCUGCCAUAAAAUUUAGUAGCAAAACAAUAUUUUGCUACAAGUUCCUGCAUUUCAAGGUGGAAAUGUAUAUGUUCUUUGCUCUCUAAUAUCCUUUGUUUUUGUAAGCUUAUGUGAUGACAGUAGGAGCUAACAGCACUCAACCUGCACAAAAUGGUGGCAAUAGGAGGAGCCUGCUUCCUCAAUCUGGAGGCAUAUGACACAAGGAUCCGUGGCUUCUUUAUGGUCUUUUCAAGUCGUAUAAUUUUAUUUGAUUGUCAAAAUGAAUCUUGAUAUGCAUUAGUGGUAUUAAGGUAAUUUAUCGUACGUAUUUGCAGUGUUAUAAUUGAGUCUUCGGUCUUCGUAAUCUGUAUCUACUUGCCAUGUAAUAUUGGGUAGUAUUUUUCAAUGUCUUAAUGUUUGCAUGAUUUUCAAUCAUAUAAAUUUAUCACAUGUUAUUAUGUUAUUUCA